This 72-nucleotide transfer RNA is filed under the name Danionella translucida. It matches the Rfam family "tRNA". Rfam says of the family: Transfer RNA (tRNA) molecules are approximately 80 nucleotides in length. Their secondary structure includes four short double-helical elements and three loops (D, anti-codon, and T loops). RNAcentral also lists the same sequence under 1 other name. The record is from Rfam by way of RNAcentral. Lineage: Eukaryota; Metazoa; Chordata; Actinopteri; Cypriniformes; Danionidae.
GGGGGUAUAGCUCAGUGGUAGAGCAUUUGAUUGCAGAUCAAGAGGUCCCCAGUUCAAAUCUGGGUGCCUGUA